Molecule: microRNA precursor, 90 nt
Filed under: Arabidopsis suecica
Lineage: Eukaryota; Viridiplantae; Streptophyta; Magnoliopsida; Brassicales; Brassicaceae
Description: MIR162_2
Rfam family: MIR162_1 microRNA precursor family
Source: RNAcentral
CGCUGGAUGCAGAGGUUUAUCGAUCUAUUCAUGCUUUUUCAAUAUGUAUAUUCGUUCCCAGGAAGAGAUCGAUGAACCGCUGCCUCCAGC